CCUACGGGGGACAGCAGUAGGGAAUCUUCCACAAUGGGCGAAAGCCUGAUGGAGCAACGCCGCGUGGGUGAAGAAGGUCUUCGGAUCGUAAAACCCUGUUGUUAGAGAAGAAAGUGCGUGAGAGUAACUGUUCACGUUUCGACGGUAUCUAACCAGAAAGCCACGGCUAACUACGUGCCAGCAGCCGCGGUAAUACGUAGGUGGCAAGCGUUAUCCGGAUUUAUUGGGCGUAAAGGGAACGCAGGCGGUCUUUUAAGUCUGAUGUGAAAGCCUUCGGCUUAACCGGAGUAGUGCAUUGGAAACUGGGAGACUGGAGUGCAGAAGAGGAGAGUGGAACUCCAUGUGUAGCGGUGAAAUGCGUAGAUAUAUGGAAGAACACCAGUGGCGAAAGCGGCUCUCUGGUCUGUAACUGACGCUGAGGUUCGAAAGCGUGGGUAGCAAACAGGAUUAGAUACCCCAGUAGUC
RNAcentral lists this ribosomal RNA (465 nucleotides) under uncultured bacterium. RNAcentral's name for it is "partial 16S ribosomal RNA". It matches the Rfam family "Bacterial small subunit ribosomal RNA", at positions 338 to 795 of the family's 1533-position model. The record is from RNAcentral.